This 377-nucleotide ribosomal RNA is filed under the name uncultured Chloroflexota bacterium. Its description in RNAcentral is "bacterial SSU rRNA". It matches the Rfam family "Bacterial small subunit ribosomal RNA", at positions 521 to 896 of the family's 1533-position model. Lineage: Bacteria; Bacillati; Chloroflexota. The record is from RNAcentral.
UAAUACGUAGGUGGCGAGCGUUAUCCGGAUUUACUGGGCGUAAAGUGGGUGCAGACGGUUUUUCAAGUCGGAUGUAAAAUCUCUCAGCUUAACUGAGAGGGACCAUUCGAUACUGCUAAGCUAGAGGACAACAGGGGGAGGUAGAAUUCCCGGUGUAGUGGUGAAAUGCGUAGAUAUCGGGAGGAAUACCAGUGGCGAAGGCGGCCUCCUGGGUUGUUUCUGACGUUCAUGCCCGAAGGUGUGGGGAGCAAACAGGAUUAGAUACCCUGGUAGUCCACACUGUAAACGAUGGACACUAGGUAUAGGGAGUAUCGACCCUCUCUGUGCCGAAGCUAACGCGUUAAGUGUCCCGUCUGGGGAGUACGACCGCAAGGUUA